GUUGUGGCUCAGUGGUAGAGCAAUUGCCUAGCAGGCACGAGGCACUGGGUUGAAUCCCCAGCACCACA
RNAcentral lists this transfer RNA (68 nucleotides) under Marmota monax (woodchuck). RNAcentral's name for it is "tRNA.Ala". Lineage: Eukaryota; Metazoa; Chordata; Mammalia; Rodentia; Sciuridae. The record is from RNAcentral.